ACCGUGAUGGCUCAGUUGGAAGAGCGUCUGCCCCGUAUGCGGAGAGUUGCCGGUUCGGUUUCGGCUCGCGCUG
Molecule: transfer RNA, 73 nt
Filed under: Fasciola gigantica
Lineage: Eukaryota; Metazoa; Platyhelminthes; Trematoda; Plagiorchiida; Fasciolidae
Description: tRNA-Thr
Source: RNAcentral